GUGACAUUCAAUAUCAGCAGAUGCACCAAAACGUCUAUUAGGUCAGUAUCCUAUCCGAGUUUCCCCACUACACCGGCGCUGUGUCUGGUGGCUUGCCUACGCGCAUAUGAGGAUCGCACCAAGCUACACCAUUCCGCAUCCUCCCCCUAUCUAUUUUUAUCUACCCGUCCGCCGUUUCAACCCAUAACUAGCACCACUUUGUCUCGAUGGGUUAAAUGGC
This is a non-coding RNA of Pelobates cultripes (western spadefoot toad), 220 nucleotides long. NCBI's taxonomy places the organism in Eukaryota, Metazoa, Chordata, Amphibia, Anura, Pelobatidae. The record is from the annotation of a GenBank genome assembly.